This 446-nucleotide ribosomal RNA is filed under the name uncultured bacterium. Its description in RNAcentral is "partial 16S ribosomal RNA". It matches the Rfam family "Bacterial small subunit ribosomal RNA", at positions 338 to 795 of the family's 1533-position model. The record is from RNAcentral.
CCUACGGGAGGCAGCAGUCGAGAAUCAUUCACAAUGGGGGAAACCCUGAUGGUGCGACGCCGCGUGGGGGAAUGAAGGUCUUCGGAUUGUAAACCCCUGUCAUGUGGGAGCAAAUGAAAAAGAUAGUACAACAAGAGGAAGAGACGGCUAACUCUGUGCCAGCAGCCGCGGUAAUACAGAGGUCUCAAGCGUUGUUCGGAAUCACUGGGCGUAAAGCGUGCGUAUGCUGUUUCGUAAGUCGUGUGUGAAAGGCGCGGGCUCAACCCGCGGACGGCACAAGAUACUGCGAGACUAGAGUAAUGGAGGGGGAACCGGAAUUCUCGGUGUAGCAGUGAAAUGCGUAGAUAUCGAGGGGAACACUCGUGGCGAAGGCGGGUUCCUGGACAUUAACUGACGCUGAGGCACGAAGGCCAGGGGAGCGAAAGGGAUUAGAUACCCCGGUAGUC